CCUAUGGGACGCGGAGGGACAUUA
RNAcentral lists this ribosomal RNA (24 nucleotides) under Metarhizium anisopliae. Its description in RNAcentral is "partial 18S ribosomal RNA". Lineage: Eukaryota; Fungi; Ascomycota; Sordariomycetes; Hypocreales; Clavicipitaceae. The record is from RNAcentral.